GACGAACGCUGGCGGCGUGCCUAAUACAUGCAAGUCGAGCGCUUCUUUCCUCCCGAGUGCUUGCACUCAAUUGGAAAGAGGAGUGGCGGACGGGUGAGUAACACGUGGGUAACCUACCCAUCAGAGGGGGAUAACACUUGGAAACAGGUGCUAAUACCGCAUAACAGUUUAUGCCGCAUGGCAUAAGAGUGAAAGGCGCUUUCGGGUGUCGCUGAUGGAUGGACCCGCGGUGCAUUAGCUAGUUGGUGAGGUAACGGCUCACCAAGGCCACGAUGCAUAGCCGACGUGAGAGGGUGAUCGGCCACACUGGGACUGAGACACGGCCCAGACUCCUACGGGAGGCAGCAGUAGGGAAUCUUCGGCAAUGGACGAAAGUCUGACCGAGCAACGCCGCGUGAGUGAAGAAGGUUUUCGGAUCGUAAAACUCUGUUGUUAGAGAAGAACAAGGACGUUAGUAACUGAACGUCCCCUGACGGUAUCUAACCAGAAAGCCACGGCUAACUACGUG
RNAcentral lists this ribosomal RNA (508 nucleotides) under uncultured bacterium. RNAcentral's name for it is "partial 16S ribosomal RNA". It matches the Rfam family "Bacterial small subunit ribosomal RNA", at positions 28 to 507 of the family's 1533-position model. The record is from RNAcentral.